UAAAUAAUCCUCUAACAUAAAGACUCAAGACAAGAUAAAUAACUAAACUUAGACUUAUAUUCGUUUAAAUUGUAAUCUACUAAUAAUACAAAAUAUUCCAAGUAAAGUAAUUAAAUAACCUACUCAUACUCGUCUAAAUAAUCAUCCGAGAAGUGUAAAUGAAUGCCACUGAAACUUUGAUAAUACUUGUGACUAUGUCAACCCUGCCAAAAAAUAUAUAUAUAGGCACAUCAACACUAAAAACAAUGCAUAAUAGUUUUCUAAA
This is a non-coding RNA of Arachis ipaensis, 265 nucleotides long. The record is from RefSeq and is a predicted model, not a curated record. NCBI's taxonomy places the organism in Eukaryota, Viridiplantae, Streptophyta, Magnoliopsida, Fabales, Fabaceae.